Molecule: non-coding RNA, 855 nt
Organism: Leptonychotes weddellii (Weddell seal)
Lineage: Eukaryota; Metazoa; Chordata; Mammalia; Carnivora; Phocidae
Source: RefSeq, a predicted model, not a curated record
UGUAAGGAUUCACACACAUACACACAGUGGACAUGUGAACAUGGGUUUGCUUAUGUGUGUGGUGUUGGGAGGUGUGUGUGUGUGUGUGUGUGCCUGAGAGAGAGAGCACAUUAGGUGUGGAGGGUGUGUGUGUGAAAGGUACAGGGAGACACCCUCUACCCCUCGGGUUGAGGUCUGCCCUCUCUGCUGUUUCUUGUCACAUUCGGUGCCUUUUGAGCAUCUGGCCCAGAACUAAGCAGCUGGUGAGAGGCUUCUAUCGUCUUCCUUUGAGCAAGGCCAGCAAGAAGCAUCCAAGGAAGGAGUGCAAGCUGAUGGGGGCUCAAAGGAAAGCCAGCGAGAGGCCUGGCACAGGGGCAGGAUCCCAGCGUCCAGAUGCAGCUGGAGACACAUGGCGGCCCACCCUAGGAGCCUCCACAUCUGGGGAGAAAUUCUUGGUGUGCCUCUGGCUGGCAAAGAGCAGCGUUCCCUGAGCUGAGCGCAGGGGUGCGUCACCUGGAUCAUGAGGUCAUCCCUCUGCUGGCUCCUCCCACUUCUCCUCAUCUUGGCCUCAGUGGCCCAAGGCCAGCUGACAAGACGACCGAAACCCAGGCCCAGGCCCAGGCCCAGACCCAGGCCCACCCCCAGCUUUUCUCAGCCCCAUGAGCCAUUGGAGCCUACAGACCUGCCCCCUCCCCUCCCACCAGGCCCUCCCUCAAUCUUCCCUGACUGCCCCCGGGAAUGCUACUGCCCCCCGGAUUUCCCAUCUGCCCUCUACUGUGACAGCCGCAACCUCCGAAAGGUCCCUGUCAUCCCACCCCGCAUCCAUUACCUCUAUCUGCAGAACAACUUCAUAACUGAGCUCCCAGUGGAGUCCUU